Molecule: ribosomal RNA, 497 nt
Filed under: uncultured bacterium
Lineage: Bacteria
Description: partial 16S ribosomal RNA
Rfam family: Bacterial small subunit ribosomal RNA
Source: RNAcentral
GAUGAACGCUGGCGGCGUGCCUAAUACAUGCAAGUCGAGCGAACGGACGAGAAGCUUGCUUCUCUGAUGUUAGCGGCGGACGGGUGAGUAACACGUGGAUAACCUACCUAUAAGACUGGGAUAACUUCGGGAAACCGGAGCUAAUACCGGAUAAUAUUUUGAACCGCAUGGUUCAAAGGUGAAAGACGGUCUUGCUGUCACUUAUAGAUGGAUCCGCGCUGCAUUAGCUAGUUGGUAAGGUAACGGCUUACCAAGGCAACGAUGCAUAGCCGACCUGAGAGGGUGAUCGGCCACACUGGAACUGAGACACGGUCCAGACUCCUACGGGAGGCAGCAGUAGGGAAUCUUCCGCAAUGGGCGAAAGCCUGACGGAGCAACGCCGCGUGAGUGAUGAAGGUCUUCGGAUCGUAAAACUCUGUUAUUAGGGAAGAACAUAUGUGUAAGUAACUGUGCACAUCUUGACGGUACCUAAUCAGAAAGCCACGGCUAGCUACGUG